Molecule: ribosomal RNA, 477 nt
Filed under: uncultured bacterium
Lineage: Bacteria
Description: partial 16S ribosomal RNA
Rfam family: Bacterial small subunit ribosomal RNA
Source: RNAcentral
AUUGAACGCUGGCGGCAUGCCUUACACAUGCAAGUCGAACGGUAACAGGUUAAGCUGACGAGUGGCGAACGGGUGAGUAAUGUAUCGGAACGUGCCCAGUCGUGGGGGAUAACUGCUCGAAAGAGCAGCUAAUACCGCAUACGACCUGAGGGUGAAAGCGGGGGAUCGCAAGACCUCGCGCGAUUGGAGCGGCCGAUAUCAGAUUAGGUAGUUGGUGAGGUAAAGGUUCACCAAGCCGACGAUCUGUAGCUGGUCUGAGAGGACGACCAGCCACACUGGGACUGAGACACGGCCCAGACUCCUACGGGAGGCAGCAGUGGGGAAUUUUGGACAAUGGGCGCAAGCCUGAUCCAGCCAUGCCGCGUGCGGGAAGAAGGCCUUCGGGUUGUAAACCGCUUUUGUCAGGGAAGAAAAGGUUCUGGCUAAUACCUGGGACUCAUGACGGUACCUGAAGAAUAAGCACCGGCUAACUACGUG